This 344-nucleotide ribosomal RNA is filed under the name uncultured bacterium. Its description in RNAcentral is "bacterial SSU rRNA". It matches the Rfam family "Bacterial small subunit ribosomal RNA", at positions 1 to 339 of the family's 1533-position model. The record is from RNAcentral.
GUCCCCAGUUUGAUCCUGGCUCAGAACGAACGCUGGCGGCGCGCUUAACACAUGCAAGUCGAACGAGAAGGCGUAGCAAUACGCUUGUAAAGUGGCGAACGGGUGAGUAACACGUGGGUAACCUACCCUCGAGUGGGGAAUAACCCGCCGAAAGGCGGGGCUAAUGCCGCGUACGCUUCCAGUCCUCGGGGUUGGAAGGAAAGCCGUAGCUAGGCUAUGGCGCUCAAGGAUGGGCUCACGUCCUAUCAGCUUGUUGGUAGGGUAACGGCCUACCAAGGCUCCGACGGGUAGCUGGUCUGAGAGGACGAUCAGCCACACUGGCACUGCGACACGGGCCAGACUCC